CCUACGGGGGGCAGCAGUGGGGAAUAUUGGUCAAUGGGCGAGAGCCUGAACCAGCCAUCCCGCGUGCAGGAAGAAUGCCCUAUGGGUUGUAAACUGCUUUUUCGCAUGAAGAACACUCCUGACGUGUCAGGAGCUGACGGUAAUGCGUGAAUAAGCACCGGCUAACUCCGUGCCAGCAGCCGCGGUAAUACGGAGGGUGCAAGCGUUAUCCGGAUUUAUUGGGUUUAAAGGGUGCGUAGGCGGCAAUUUAAGUCAGUGGUGAAAUCCUGCAGCUCAACUGUAGAACAGCCAUUGAAACUGAAUUACUUGAGUAAUCUUGAGGUAGGCGGAAUGUGUAGUGUAGCGGUGAAAUGCUUAGAUAUUACACAGAACACCGAUUGCGAAGGCAGCUUACUAAGGAUUUACUGACGCUGAUGCACGAAAGCGUGGGGAUCAAACAGGAUUAGAUACCCCAGUAGUC
This 460-nucleotide ribosomal RNA is filed under the name uncultured Bacteroidota bacterium. RNAcentral describes it as "bacterial SSU rRNA". It matches the Rfam family "Bacterial small subunit ribosomal RNA", at positions 338 to 795 of the family's 1533-position model. The record is from RNAcentral. Lineage: Bacteria; Pseudomonadati; Bacteroidota.